This 365-nucleotide RNase P RNA is filed under the name Myxococcaceae bacterium. RNAcentral's name for it is "RNase P RNA component class A". It matches the Rfam family "Bacterial RNase P class A". Rfam says of the family: Ribonuclease P (RNase P) is a ubiquitous endoribonuclease, found in archaea, bacteria and eukarya as well as chloroplasts and mitochondria. Its best characterised activity is the generation of mature 5'-ends of tRNAs by cleaving the 5'-leader elements of precursor-tRNAs. The record is from RNAcentral. Lineage: Bacteria; Pseudomonadati; Myxococcota; Myxococcia; Myxococcales; Myxococcaceae.
GGAGCGGUCCGGGUGAACGCCGGCCAUCGCAGGCAUGGAUGGCGGGAGGAAAGUCCGGGCUCCACAGGGCAGGGUGCUGGCUAACGGCCAGUCGAGGCGACUCGCAGGAAAGCAAGGGGGCGGGUAAGGGUGAAACGGUGCGGUAAGAGCGCACCGCGUCCGGGGUGACUCGGACGGCUCGGUAAACCCCACCUGGAGCAAGAGCCAAUAGGAACGCGUCCUCGCAAGAGGACAGGGAUGGCCCGUCCUACGCGUUCGGGUUGCUCGCUGAUGAGGUCCCUGGGCAACCAGGGCCCUAGAUGAAUGUUCAUCGCCCAUCCCGAAAGGGGUGGGGACAGAACCCGGCUUACAGGGCCGCUCCGGUU